UACAGAGGGUGCGAGCGUUAAUCGGAAUUACUGGGCGUAAAGCGUGCGUAGACGGUUAUUUAAGUCGGGUGUGAAAGCCCCGGGCUCAACCUGGGAAUGGCAUUGGAAACUGGCGGGCUGGAGUGUGGCAGAGGGGGGUGGAAUUCCGCGUGUAGCAGUGAAAUGCGUAGAGAUGCGGAGGAACACCGAUGGCGAAGGCAGCCCCCUGGGCUGACACUGACGCUCAGGCACGAAAGCGUGGGGAGCAAACAGG
RNAcentral lists this ribosomal RNA (253 nucleotides) under uncultured bacterium. RNAcentral describes it as "partial 16S ribosomal RNA". It matches the Rfam family "Bacterial small subunit ribosomal RNA", at positions 524 to 776 of the family's 1533-position model. The record is from RNAcentral.